This is a long non-coding RNA of Arabidopsis thaliana (thale cress), 1791 nucleotides long. RefSeq annotates it as other RNA. NCBI's taxonomy places the organism in Eukaryota, Viridiplantae, Streptophyta, Magnoliopsida, Brassicales, Brassicaceae. The transcript has a single exon. The record is from RefSeq.
CAGCUUAAAGAACUGGCUUAGAUUGGUUGAAGCGUUUAUAUAACCAUCAAAAUAUGAAUUGAUACUAUCACUACGAUGAGUUAAGGACAUGUCGGCAAAAAAGGUAUCACGGAGAUAUACUGGGACCCACUGCCGGCGAUCGGAGUAUAUUGCUUGUAGCCACUCAUGAUCUCUUAGCUCAUACUUGUCAAGAAGUGAAAACCAGCAUCUCUCAAAAUCCUCAACCGACUCUGUCAGAUUGACACAUUUGUGGAAAUCUGACUCAAACGAAGGAUGCUUGAGGAAGACAUGCGACAGCUUCUCCUGACAUUUCUUUAAAAUAUGCCAUUUGCAAAAGCGAUGGCGGGCACCAGGAAAAACGUGCAUGAUGGCUGCACGUAUAACAGCAUCAUGAUCGGUGGUGAUUGAGACAGGAGGGUGGGCGGACAUUGCGGCUAGCCACGUAUUGAAAAGCCAUACAAAUGAAGCCUCAGUUUCAUUGAUGAUAAAGGCACAGCCGAAAAGAAUGGGUUGGCCAUGGUGAUUUACACCAGUGAAGGGUGCGAAAGGCAAACGGUACCUGUUGGACCUGUAGGUUGUAUCAAAUGUAACGGUGUCUCCAAAGUGAGUGAAAUCCAUUAUAGCUUUAGGAUCAGCCCAGAAGACAUUACCAACAGACUGAUCUUCGCUUCCCUGAACAGAAUAAAAGAAGUUUGGGUUGUCAGCAUUCAUCUGCCUCAAGUAGUCAAGAAGAAGCUGAAUCUCUCCUUCUAUGCUCUUCUGGCGGUUGUUCCUCAUAUAAUUCCUACAGUCCACUUCGGUGAAACCAACCUUGCUGAUGCCACCAUACUCUUUGAUGAGGGCGGACAUGAUUCUGCGGGGACCCAUUCCUGCAGCUUGAAGUGUGUCAAUCAAAGUCUUGGCAGGGCCAGAGAUUUGCCUGUGGGAACGCAGACAGUGAACUUGGUCGGGAGGAACAAGCUCAUGGUUGUGGUCUUUGACAAAGCCAGAGACAAGCCAUUUACCGGAAUCCUGCAUCUUAACAGAGAGGGAGGCUUUGCAACCGACUCGAGUGAUGGUCCUGGGACGCUUGAUCUCCCUGUCCUUGGUGCGCUUUUCAUUCAUAUUUCUGAAACCUUCUUUGGCACAGACAAAUUGCCUCUGGAUGAUAGCUCCAUCACGGCGGGAGCGGCGGGAGGAACUGACACGGGUACUAAAGCCAAUGCGACGGGCAUACGAGUUGUAGAAUGCCUUGGCAGCUUCUUCGGACUCGAAUUCAAGACCAUCAUAGGGCUCGAGAUCCAGGAGAUCACAAGCCUCCUCCUCCUGGUUGGGAAAGUAAUUUCCAGAAUUGCCAACAAGACCAUUACCGCAAGGCAUAAUUGGGCUGUCGAGCAUAUCAUCGUCGUCGAGAGCAUGGUGCUCAAUAUCAAUAGCGUCGUCAUCAACAUCUCCGCCACUACUAACUCCUACACCAAUAUCGAAGUCGAGCACUUCAUUAUCCAUCAUAUCCUCCUUGUCUUCAGGGAUGAAUUCUAUCUAUCUAUUGUCCACAACAGGAUGAAAUAGCUAGCUACUGUAGAUAGAACCACUUACAGUCGUGAUUUGAUUUCAAGUCUGAGAUUGAGAUUGGGAGGCAGCGAAGACGAGGGAAUGCGCGUUCGUGCGCGGGAGAAACCAGAAAAGAAGAGAUAAGGGAACUUGUAAUUGAUUACGUUAUAAUAACCGAAGAAUGAAAAGGAAGAUGAGAGACGACGGAGGAGGGAGACUGGGAAUAGAGUCGUCGGAGGGCACGGAGGAGGAAGACAGACG